Molecule: ribosomal RNA, 372 nt
Filed under: uncultured organism
Description: partial 16S ribosomal RNA
Rfam family: Bacterial small subunit ribosomal RNA
Source: RNAcentral
GUAGGUGGCAAGCGUUGUCCGGAAUUAUUGGGCGUAAAGCGCGCGCAGGCGGUUCUUUAAGUCUGAUGUGAAAGCCCACGGCUCAACCGUGGAGGGUCAUUGGAAACUGGAGAACUUGAGUACAGAAGAGGAAAGCGGAAUUCCACGUGUAGCGGUGAAAUGCGUAGAGAUGUGGAGGAACACCAGUGGCGAAGGCGGCUUUCUGGUCUGUAACUGACGCUGAGGCGCGAAAGCGUGGGGAGCAAACAGGGAUUAGAUACCCUGGUAGUCCACGCCGUAAACGAUGAGUGCUGAGUGUUAGGGGGUUUCCGCCCCCUUAGUGCUGCAGCUAACGCAUUAAGCACUCCGCCUGGGGAUACGGCCGCAAGGCUG